CUUUUCCGCUUCUCUUCAGAACCACUGCCAUCCUGGACAAGAUGGGAACAGAAGUGCAAUUUAAAAGGCUCCUCUCUGCAGCAACCAAUCCUUGACCAGACCCACAGGUACCCCUGGGCCAAAGACAAGGCAACAAUCAAGACCAAGGCCUGGGACCUAGCAGGCUUUCAGGAAGUUCUAUGGUGAGUAGCACUUACUCUCUAUAGAAGAAAGCAGUGUGCACCAGGAAAAAAAAAUAAAAAACAGUGCUGACCCCACAUAUAUGUUUUGCAGACACAUGAGGGGAAGGUGCUGGAAAGGCCUUUGGGUGUUCAAUGCUGAUGGUGACACCAGCUCUCCUGGGAUGUCAGCUCAAACACACACUGCUCCCCAAAUGCCAUCGGCAGCCCAGCUGCACACCCAACACUGGCUGGCUGACCCCAGGAGAAGCCAGAGAGCCAUCACCACAGGGCAAGGGGCCAGACUGUGGCCACUGUGGGACCAGGGCCACUCACCAGUCUGCUUGGGGCAAUCAGUGUGUCCAUUUGAGAAAAAAGACUAUUGUGAGUCAAGGCCACACAGACCAGGGAGGAGAUGCCAAGUUGAUCUCAGCAGCUGCGGGGGCUCAGCUCUGACCUGGGGAUAACAGCUGACCCGAGGGCCCCCUGCCCUUGGAGGCUAAUGCUCCAAGCUCCCACUCUUAUAGCCUGGGCAGGCCCCACAAGCUCAGCACUAGGAAGAGGGGAGUCAAAGAUCAUGGGUCUGUCACCCAAGGGCAAGACAGGCCCAAACUGAGUCUCCAGGCGAGUCAGUUCUCUGAGCUGUCUUAGGACAAAGUCUAAACUCCCUGCCCUGUCCACAAGUCCCUGCAGACCUUGGCUCCUGCCACCUCUCUCGACAGUCUGUGCUUGAGCCAGGGCCUCCAACGUGUUCUUCUCGCUUUGCUUCCAGGUCUUUGGCCAGGCUGUACCCCUUCCUAGGACACCUUCUCACUCUUUUCAUCAGGCCAGGUCCUAUUAAUCCUUCAGGUUGCAGACACUGCUUCCACUGGGAAACCUGACCCCAGAGCUGAGACAGGAGCUGAACUACAAGCCCCUAUAACACACUGUAUAUGGCACACUAAAUCCCAGGUGCCUGCUUUGUCAUCCCCAGCAGACAGCAGGCUCCACGGGGCAGGGUUGGCAGACCGUUGUACCUUGGCACUUGGUUUGUAUCUGCCUGUCAGGAUGCUCAUUCAAGACUGCGCCCAAGGUGAGUCAGAGCCACACCUGGGCAGAGGCGACACAGCCCGCAUUCCUGCCCUGGGCUCCUGCCUGCUCCUGACUUCUGGGCUCUCUGGUGCACAUGAGAGCUCCUCAAGAUGCUGGGAUGAAGUGAAAAGGCCCAGCCCGGGAUCCCACCCUACCCCUGGCCCCAGGCCCUCUACACCUAUGUGGAACACAAGUCCUUCUCCCUGCUGGCCCACAAGCCACCUGCCCUUGACUGUCACCUGCUGCCCCACAACACAUGCAGGCCAACUGGAAAAGUGCCAGCUCCACUGUUGCCCUCCACCCCACUUUUCUAGGCUUCUACCCCCACCUAGACAGUGGCCAGGGACACAAGCCUGUGGGUCUGUUUACCUCAUGCCCUGACAUGGCUGGACCUCAAGACACUAAGGUCUGGCCAGGAUGCCAGGGAGCCAUAACAAGUCCCUGCCACCCCCACCAGAGGAGCACAGCAUGGCCCAGCUGGCCCCCUCAUCUGGGCUCACAUCCUGAAAAGCUCUCUCAGACAUUCUGGGGUCUCCAGCUAUAGCCAGACUCGGUAAAUGGCCUGGAACUGCCAUCUUGGGCCAGCUAGAGUUGCCCAGGCCCUAGACAAACCUUCCCUCUGGACCCCAUCUGCAAUGCUACAUGCACCCCCACCAACUGGGACUUCACACAAAGGCCAGUGUACCCCAUUUCUGCAAGCCACUGGACACAUAAGCACUAUUCUCAAGGGGUUUGCAAACAAGGAGGCUCUGAUACAACAGACGUGGAUCUGACUCCCACAAGUGUCAUUUUCCCUGGGAGCAUGAGAGAGCAGGCAAGAGGCCCUAUGGUCGGCCCAUUCCCAAUCCAGACAGUCCCUGGACCAUCACUUCUCUGGACUGAACUUCAGCUCUGAAAAGCAGAGCCCAGGCCAACAGGCCAGAGAGUCACGAGUCCCAGGGGUCUCAGCCAUCAAGCUGCUCAGGAUCAGAAGCUUGGCCAGGGUUCAAGCUGCCUGAAGUUUGAGCUUACACAGUAAAAAUGCCAACCACUGAGAUGCUUUUAAAGGGAUGUGUAAGAGAGGAAUCCUUUCAGGGCUUAUGAGGCACUCUCAGGGCUCCGUCCAGUCUUCUACCUUGAUUGCCUCCCUCCCCCAUAGCCCCACAAAUGCCCACAGGGUGUCCAUGGGAAGCUGGGAUAGCCAGGUUUGUUUUGCCAGGGGUGGGGGAGGUGGGGGCUGCUAAUGCAGAGAGAAAACAGUCAUGAGCAAAGCCAGAAAAGGAUUAAGCCUCCAGGCUCAGCUUUUGCCUGCACUGAAGGGACUGCCUGCCUUCCUCCUAGGCAAAGGCCACGAAGAGUCACAGGCAGCCCUGGAAAACCCAUUCCAACAGGACCCAGGGAUCCCAGCAGGAGUAGGGUAGAAGCAGGCAGGUUUAGGCUUCCUCCGCAGGAGACUCAGCAGAUGUUCCUGAGGCCCUCUGGUGAGGGCCUCCUGGGACCGCUGGGGUCCUUGCUCUGUCUCCUCAAAACAGUCUCUAUGCCCUAUACAGCUCCCACCACUGGAGGCUGCUGCACUACCUCCCUUCCCUUCUGGAAAGGCCUGGCUCCCCAGCAGGGCUAGAGCAGGGCUCUCUGAAGUCUGUGCCUGAGCACCCCAGUGCCAGACUCUGCCCUGGGCCAAAGAUACAGAUGAGGCCACUCACAGGGGCCUCCCUUGCCAUUGCCUUGCCCUGCCCACUCCCCCACCACACACCCUCCCUGCUGCAGCUCUGCAGGUGGGCCUGCUGACCCUUCAUCUGCUCCACAAGCAUUUGCUGAGCACUUGCUGCAAGCCAGGCUCUGGGAGACACAGGAGACACAGAGCUUCCAGGCCGGUGGGGAGACAGAGAAACAGAAACACACGCUAAUUAUAAUGCAAGGAAGCCCGUGCAGGGACUAGGGAGCCUGGGAGCAGCAGGGCCUGGAGACAACAUGAUCCAAGACGGAGGGCAGUGGACUGUUUGUCAGGUAACCAACCAGAUGUCUGGUCCAGGAGCCGCCACUCACUGGUUCCUGCCUUUGAGGAGCUUAAGAGCCUGGGGUGGGAAGAGACCUGUAUCCAGGGACCAAAGAAACACCUUUGUAAAAAGCAAGUGCCACCAGGACUAGCUGCAUGCCGAAUAUGCGAGAGUACUGCUUAUCUGCAUAACCACUUAUUUCCAACUGAGAAACGAGAAAGGCUGGCUCUGAAAGUAACUUGUCCCAGUUCACAGAACUCAUGACUGAGGAGUCAAGAUUCAAAUCUAAGCCUCCUGACCCCAAACCAGGUCUCUCUCUGUCACUGUGUCAAUACCCGUCUGUGUGGAUGUCAAGCAGUGGUUCUUAAACCUCAGUGUGUGCAAUAAAACCCACCCUGAGAGACUAGUUCAUGGGUCUGGUGGGGUGGGGGUCGGGGGUGGGAAGAGCACGAUGGGGA
RNAcentral lists this long non-coding RNA (3663 nucleotides) under Homo sapiens (human). RNAcentral describes it as "HSALNT0377943". The record is from RNAcentral. Lineage: Eukaryota; Metazoa; Chordata; Mammalia; Primates; Hominidae.